Molecule: transfer RNA, 78 nt
Filed under: Microcoleus asticus IPMA8
Lineage: Bacteria; Bacillati; Cyanobacteriota; Cyanophyceae; Oscillatoriales; Microcoleaceae
Description: tRNA-Leu
Source: RNAcentral
UACCCCUGUGAUGUAAUUGGAAAACAUCACUCGCUCAGAACGAGUGUUUUUUGCAGGUUCGAGGCCUGUCAGGGGUAU